Molecule: long non-coding RNA, 2437 nt
Organism: Zalophus californianus (California sea lion)
Lineage: Eukaryota; Metazoa; Chordata; Mammalia; Carnivora; Otariidae
Exons: 3
Source: RefSeq, a predicted model, not a curated record
UCUCCAAAUAUUCCUGAACUCCUGGUUUAAAGACUUCCUGAUACUUCCAGAAUUAGGGUUCCAUUAGAGGACCGGAUGGACCAGAAGAGACCGGUGGUCAGAGAAGGGACUGUAGCAAGGCUGGAGAUCGGGGAAGAGACAACAAGAGUCGGUUUAGGCAUCAGGUGACAUUCUAGAAAAGUAGCUGAGCAGUUUUCAAGCAACACUUGUGAAGGGUUGUUGCAAGGAUUACCUGUGUUAAAAUAUAUGUGACAUGUUCAGAAUAGCGUGCUGAGCACAUGUAUACAUGCUGUCGAAGCAAGAACUCGGGAAUGUGUUUUGAAUGGAUGAAUAGAUGCAUGAAAGGCAGACCUGUAAGGUAUCGAUGUGGUUUGGAAUUCUGGGGUCCAGAGCCGAUGGCCAAGAAAGAAUUCUUGAGAUGUCUUUGGUGAAAAAGGUGGUUUUAUUGAAGCGUGGGGUCAGGUCCCAUGGGCAGAAAGAACUGGUGCCCUAGGACUGUGAGGAGCAACUGAUUGUGUAUUUUGGAGUUGGGGGAAGGAAAGAUAAAGGGAAGUUUCCACGAGGAUUUUCAAAUGCUAAAGAAGACUCACAGGAUCCUGGAGGCCUAGGUAUUGUCAAGCUAAUAUUGUUUUUCCCUCUAGCAAAGUAUUAACAUUAAGACAGUUGGGAGUUUCCUGAAGGAAUGUUAUACUCCACCUGCCUCAAGUAUUUGUGGUGGGCUACAGGUUAUAAGGAAAUUUAAUUUUACCUGCAUUUCUUUCUGCCUUUGUUCUCCCUGUCAGGUAUCUUUCUUAGGUCUUGAUUGUUGCUUUGCAAGAAAAUAUGGAAUUUUGUGAUUUUUCAACAAUGAUAUUUGUGUCCUUAAUAUCAAAUGGCACAAUAUUCAUUUUCUGUGACCUCAAGAAUACAUUUUAAUUUUUGUUUCAAUUGGAAUCAUAGUGCUAUCUUUUUAAAAGACAUAGAAAAAGCCAAUGACACUCGACACAUAUACAAACAACUAUGCACAUACAUCAAUUGAAGUGACAAUAAUGUGGGCAUCCAUGGUUGAAAUCACACAAGCACAAAGAAUGACUUUUACCUCACAGAUGCUCCCUAGUCAACAGAGACUACAAAUUAUUCCCUUGUUUUGGGUUGCUCUGAGCCUCUUGAUUAUGAUGCUGUAAGGUAGAAAUGCCUGGGGCACUCACCUGUGCCCGGACUAGUUUGAGCCCUCACAGACAUUUCCUGAUUGGAGACAAUACUCUUCCUGGACUGAACCUUGUGGUUCGUACUAUGAUGGCAGAACACACCUCAGCAACAACCAUCAGGAAACUUUGAAACAAAGUUUCUUACUCACAAGUCCUAGAGGAUGCAUAGCACACCCAGGGCCACAGAUAAGGUAGCAGUAAGAAAGAGAGAGAGAAAGAGAGAAAGAAAGAGACAGAGAGACAGACCUAGAGUUUUCCAGGUUCACUAUUAAUUGGUGAAUUUAAAACAGAAGAGUGGGACGUAAGCCUGGAGAAGGGAAAGCAGGGUUACUCAGACAGGGCUUUUUAAAGGGGAAACUCAUGGGUGGGGAGGCCUGGCUCUUUAUCUGGUUGUGUAGCUGCCGAUGUGUUUAUUUGAGAUGGAUGUCUUUGAAAUGGAUGCCUUGACAACCAAAGCUUAAUGUCAAUCACUGACAGUACAAUAAAAAAAGCUAAUGGUCAGGCAUUUACACUACACAUCUAUUGUAAGACAUUUCCUAAUUUCAGAGCUGUUAAAACAUAGAAAAUGCAUUUUGGAACUAAGAAAUGCAACAUUGAGCAUUUAUCACUGGCUAAGUGCUUUACAUAGAAUUUAUGUAAUCAUUGCAAAUCGGGAUUACCACUUUUCAUCUCUAUUUUGCGGAUGAGAGAAUUGACGCUCAUGGAGGUAUAUAACUUGCCCUUCGUCAUAAAACUGGCAAAUUGAGGAACUGAGAUUUUAACAAAACUCUGCCUGAUAGAGCACCCAAACUCCUUACCACUGUGCUAUCCUUGCUCUGGGGACUGGAAUGAAGGAGUCCAAAGCUGCUUUAAAGUUAGUAUGGCUCUCCAAAAUCACUUUGACAUUAUUUUUGUUCUAAACUAUUUGCUUGCUCUUCAAGCAAACUCCAUUGUAUGAUUUAGAGUAAGUAUUCGCUAUACAUUUGUAGAAUGAAUAAAAGCUGUUAUAAUCUGUUCUGAGUAUUCAAUGUCCAUAAUAUGCCAAAGUUAUGUUAUGGGAAAAUACAACUGUUGAGAAAAGACUUGUAAUAGGAACUUACUUUCAUAAAGAUGUAUGUAAAAGUCCAGAUAGUUUGGAUAACUCUCCAGGGCCCAACAGUGUUAUCCAUUACUGCUAUAUUAAAAUGUAUUAAAUACCACUUAAAAGGUAUUACUUGACAGUCAACAAAUAAUAGACCGCUUUGUGAUCAUCCUUAUUUUGAAUACAUAUU